ACCUUGACGACAGCAGGCUAAACAUAGCAACAUAUGCUCACUAUCUGGUCGGAGCUGUACUGGUAGGAGGUGCAGUGUAACUGUGUUCCGUAUUUACCUCUUUGGUACACAAGGAGUCCCAGCGUUCAGUGAUCUACGAUGUCUACAGCAACUCCACCUCCUAAAGGCAGCAUGGCUGACAACCCCCCUCCUCCACCACCAUACUGCGAACCUGGAACGGUUCCACAACUAAUGCCCCAGCAGCAGCAACAGCAGCAGCUGAACGUUACCACAGUCAACAUGGGUCUUCACGGAGCCCUUGUCAUGUUUCCAAGGGUACCAAUAAGCCUCACUUGCCAGUUUUGUCAAGCAUCGAUCGUGACGUCGGUGGAAAUGGUCUACGGCGACGCAACCUGGCGAGCAGCAUGCAUUUUUUGCUUCUUUCUAGGUAUUAUCGGCUGUUUCAUUCCGUUGUGCAUGGAGUCUACCCAAGACGCCGUUCACAAGUGUCCAAACUGCAAGGUCGUUCUGGGAACAAACCCGGGACAGUUCUGCUGAAAGGCGCGGUUUGCGAGAAGAUAUUGUAUAAGACCAUACAUACUAAGCUUUCAUUCCUCUGUUUCCGAAACAGAAAUCCCAACGCGUAGGAAGGAAAUAAACUGACGGCCAAAAGAAACGUUACCAACGAUACUUCUAGGAUAAAAUAUGACCAACACAAUUUGAAGCAGCAAUAACAAUUGUAUUGUAGAAAUUCAUCAUUCAGAACUGUAAAAUGCUAAU
Haliotis rufescens (red abalone) is the source of this 759-nucleotide long non-coding RNA. RefSeq lists it as uncharacterized. The transcript is spliced from 4 exons. The record is from RefSeq and is a predicted model, not a curated record. Lineage: Eukaryota; Metazoa; Mollusca; Gastropoda; Lepetellida; Haliotidae.